AAAAAAUAGAUAGUCUCGUCAAAAUAAUCUACAAUUCAAGUUAAAUUACACAUUAUUAUUUUAAAUAAUAAUAAUAAUAAUAAUAAUAAUAACAAUAAAAAAAUAUCAAAUUAGACUUUAGUCUAUCGAUUUUUUGAUUUUGACUCAACAAAAGCUAGCAAUCCACCUCGCAUCGACUCGUCAGUAAACAAGCUGAAUAACCGACCGUUUUUAGAGCAAGUGGCAAAACGCUUGAUGGUUCGUACCUGAGGUCCCAAAUUCAAAUCCUAAUUGAUUCACAUUUUCCAUCGGAUAGCAUGUAAUCUAUCUCUAAAAAAAAUAAAAUAAUAAACAAGCUGAAUAUGAGCUAAAUUUUUUAACUAAAUAUUUUAACGAACCAGCAUGUGUUUAGGUCAUUUAAUAAACCAAUAAAAAUGAGACGGCCACAACUGGCUUGU
Molecule: long non-coding RNA, 437 nt
Filed under: Ananas comosus (pineapple)
Lineage: Eukaryota; Viridiplantae; Streptophyta; Magnoliopsida; Poales; Bromeliaceae
Description: long non-coding RNA (ACOM_LNC000513)
Source: RNAcentral